CACCCUCCUCUCUCUCUCUCUCUCUCUCUCUCUCUCUCUCUUUCUUUCCCUUCGUCUCUCUCUCUCCCUCAAAACAAACGGAAAAUAGCAGAGCUCCUUUCGCGAACCCAGGCCGUGCAUGGCCAUUUCGGGGAAAAGCAAUUAAUGCUCGUCCUUUCCCCGUCAGAUUUCAACCAUGCCUUUGCUACUAUUUCGGGUCCGAGUGAAUUCAAGCUCGGAUUUUUGAUAGUGUUCGAGCAUAAAUCGAGACUCCGUACCCACUUCGCUGCACCCGAAGAAGGUAAAUUUCCUUCCAUUUAAUCAUUUUUGGGUUUUAUUUGUUGUUUUCUUACGGUGCUUUAAGUUUGCUGUUUAGCUUAAUUAUCUGCUAUUAGUAAUUUUAAGCAUGCUUAGAGUAUACUUGGUUGCCAUCGUAGUUUUAAAAAUGUUAUAAUAAGCCUAAUGUAGUUUUGCAUGCUUAUUCAUGUUUUAGUUAAACUCCUGUAGUUACGUUAGGAUAGGGUAAUUGUUGUAUGCCUAUUUAGAUGGCUAGUCUUCUAAUUGGUAGUGGUUUGAGCAAGAUAAAUAGCCAUUUUGUUUGCUGUUAGUUAGUUCCUUUGUUGCUAAUAGUCUAAGUAUGAUUAAGAUGUUAUGGUUGUUUCUAGUUGAUUAGUAAUUAUAUUUAGUGUAAUUCAGCAUAUUUGUUAAUUACAUUAUGAGCUGAUUGCUUGUUAAUAGUUCAGCAUGUUUAGCGUGUCUCUAUUCAGUACUUAAUUAGUAGUAGUUUAAUGUAAUCCAUGCUUUCACUUAUUAUUGAAACCUGUUUAAACUAAAUGGGAUCAGUGUCACCCCUAUUGAUCAAAUCAUGUUGCUAGUGACAUCUUAAGUGGUUCUGUUUGGGUUCUGUUUUCUAUGAAGAUCUGUUCAGCCCCUUGCUUAUCUAUUUGAUUUAUUGUUAAUAUGCCUUUUUUUUAGAUGUCCAUUUGUUGCAUGAAGUCCACUAUUAGCUUAGCUUAAGCUCAUUCCAUCUAAAUCCUGUGUCAAAACUUACCUGUGUGCAUUGUCCUGUCAACUUGUGUCUUAUUGAUUGAAUCCCUAGGCAGGAGUCCACACCUAAGUAUAGUACCAGUUGGUUAAAAUGGCGUGAGUAUUAACUCGGAGCAACAAGGUUUGUCUGCUUAGCUUAACAGGAUAUCACUAGAGUCAUUAUGCUAAUUUAUAAAUUAAAAUGGUAAAUCUGAAAUCAGUAUGAGUUACUUGGUUCAUUCAGUUUCUAACGUGAUAGAUAAGGAGAGGGGUCAAAUGGCUAGAGGGAUCUAAAUAGGACUCCAACAAAGCCUGAAUGCAGCCUCAAUCAACCUAUGAAUGUAUAGUACACUUGAAUGCAUAUCUAUGAUGUUUAAACAUGGCCAGAAGGCUGUCAUAUUGCAAUUGGUAUGAGUUUAAGUUCAUUAAAUAACUAUACUUAGUAUAAAAGGGGAUAAAUACUCAUGUAGCACACAUUUAGGAGAAUUAAAUGGGUUGUUAACUUUGAGUAAGCGAAAGUCUGUCAUUUGCCUUAUGAUUGGUUCUUAGAAGAGAACAUUUUUGUCCCUGUGGAUUGGCUGGAAUUGAGCUUCUUGUCUGGUUGUCAUGAACCGAGCCUCUUGCCUGGUUGUUUUGAAUCCUACAUAUCAUCUUCAGUUGACUCAAAUAUUUAACUUCCAUGCUAUGUAAUAUAGAUUUCCGCAUGAUAAUUAGUGAACUCAAUCCACGUCCCUUGUUAGUUAAUUGUAAGAAGUAUUACAUGUAUGAGAGUCCUAAGGUAAUGGGUCAAGUCUAGUAUAGGUAUCUUAAGUUUCUAUGUUGAUGGCUUAAGGCUAAGAUGUCUAGCUGCAUAUUGAUACUCCUCUGCUUCCCUGUAUCUGAGCUUGUUUCUCUUGUCUGCAUUUUACAUGUUUGUCUCAUAAAUAUCGCAUGAAUUGACAAUGCAUAUUCUUCCUUAGAAGUACAGUUUGAACCUGAGAAACGUGGGUAGUUGUUAGUCUCUUAUGAAAACACUCUUGCUUUAUUUUCUUGCGAUCCUAUAAGACUGUCGUUAAGGGUAAAAUCAUCUGAUAUACAUAGUCUAUACACAAUCCGCUGGUCUAUUUUUGAGUUUGCAAUUUAUAUGUUUGACCUUAUUCAUUGAUCAUAUACUAAUCUUUUUCCUUUCAUUUUAUGCAUGACCAUCGCAUACGAGUCCGAGGGACUCGUUCUUCUUCCGCAUUCGAUGUUGGGCUAAAAGCCCAACGUAAUCUCUCUCGUGUCCAGCCCACCCGCAGCAAUCUAUAUCCAUAUAAAAAAAGAUUUUUGGGCCAAAGCCCAACAGCAGCACUGAUCGCAGCAGUCUAAAAAAUGGUCUGAGCCAUUUCCCAACAGCAGCACCGAUCGCAGUGGUCUUAAAAAAUGGGCUGAGCUCAUUUAAUUUUAUUUACGCCUCUACUUGUUUUUGUGCAUUUAAUUUGUAUUAUUCGACUAACCCUUUGCUUUGUUUUUGUUUUCUUAACUUAGAUGAAUGCUAGUAAAAUUAGUGGGUUAGUCUUAGUAUAAUGGGUAGUUAAUGUAAAGGGGAAACUAAUAGUUAAUUCCAUAGGUUUCAUUUUUAUAUUAACAUCAUUUACAUUA
Molecule: long non-coding RNA, 2625 nt
Organism: Lycium barbarum (goji berry)
Lineage: Eukaryota; Viridiplantae; Streptophyta; Magnoliopsida; Solanales; Solanaceae
Exons: 2
Source: RefSeq, a predicted model, not a curated record